AGGAGGAUGGCAAGAAAUCCUGGAAACAGCGCUACUUCCUGUUGCGAGCCUCUGGAUUGUAUUACUCACCCAAAGGCAAGACAAAGGCAUCACGGGAUCUUGUGUGUUUGGUGCAGUUUGACAAUGUGAACGUCUACUACUGCAAAGAAUAUAGGAACAAAUACAAAGCACCAACAGACCACUGCUUCAUUCUCAAGCAUCCUCAGAUUCAAAAAGAAUCACAGUACAUCAAGUAUCUGUGUUGUGAUGAUGAGUUGACCAUGACUCUGUGGGUGACUGGGAUACGUAUUGCAAAGGUGAGCAGAAACCAAGCCACACACCAUACAUUUUUUGCCAAAACAUUUAUAAAGUAGAAAAUGAUUGUAUGAUAAACACAA
Ctenopharyngodon idella (grass carp) is the source of this 377-nucleotide long non-coding RNA. RefSeq lists it as uncharacterized. The record is from RefSeq and is a predicted model, not a curated record. The transcript has 3 exons. Lineage: Eukaryota; Metazoa; Chordata; Actinopteri; Cypriniformes; Xenocyprididae.